RNAcentral lists this ribosomal RNA (498 nucleotides) under uncultured bacterium. RNAcentral describes it as "bacterial SSU rRNA". It matches the Rfam family "Bacterial small subunit ribosomal RNA", at positions 8 to 518 of the family's 1533-position model. The record is from RNAcentral.
AGGGUUCGAUUCUGGCUCAGAACGAACGCUGGUGGCGUGUCUUAUACAUGCAAGUCGAGCGGCAUAGCAAUAUGUAGCGGCGAACGGUGAGUAACGCGUAAGCAAUCUGCCCCAUAUCAGGAAAUACCCGUGCCAACGCGCGGUUAAUGUCCAGGAGAGCGGGAACCCGCAUGGGUUCUUGGCUAGAGAUUCAUCGGUAUGGGAUGAGCUUGCGUCCGAUUAGCUAGUUGGCGGGGCAACGGCCCACCAAGGCGACGAUCGGUAGCCGGCCUGAGAGGGUGAUCGGCCACAUUGGGACUGAGAUACGGCCCAGACUCCUACGGGAGGCAGCAGUAGGGAAUAUUGCACAAUGGGGGGAACCCUGAUGCAGCAACGCCACGUAAUGGGAAGAAGCAUUUCGGUGUGUAAACCACUGUCGUGAGGGAAUAAGGCCUAUUCUAGGAUAGGAUUGAAUGUACCUCGAAAGGAAGCACCGGCAAACUUCGUGCCAGCCGCCGC